UGUAUUGAGCCUUUGUACAUCACACAUUUUUUGACAUUCCAUAUUUUGACUUAUAUUUCACAUAAAGCAAUAUGGUAACACACGCACGCACGCACGAAUACACAAAAUACAUACUACAUAUGCACAUAAAACUGAACACGUUCCUACAGUAUUAACACUUUCGCACAUGUGAUCACUUAUGAAAUAUUUUCAAUGUGCUCUUUAUCAUUUUAUGCUGAAGUUAUAUUAUGAUUUUUUCAGGACAGUUAAACUUCUAGAAAUGCAGCUGUGCCCUCUUUACAACAAUUGUAGAUGAAGCAAAGUAUGGUAGCAAGUUAUAUAGAUAUACACACAUGCCGAAGAAGAUUGUAAUAUCUGGAGAUAACAUUUCCUACGUCACGAAAUAGACACCGUCACACUGGUCUACGUAACAUUCCUAUAGAUGAUUGAUAUAUUUAAGUGCUUUUAAGAACUGUGUUUGAAUGACGAAUUUCUGUGAAUACGGAUUUUUAGUUUUAAUGAUUAUUAUUAAAACUUUCUGUAAUAAUCAAUUUGUGAUAUGGACUCAUUUUCCUAAAAUAAUAUGUGAAUGUUAACACGAACAAAUGAUAUGAAUAUCUUUAAAAUAUUUUAUGGGUGUAAUACAAGUGGCUCAUAAAAAUCAUUGUUAAGAUAAAUAGAAUCAAACUUCAAGUUGGUAUAGUUUGUUCUACAUUUAAACAACAUGCAAUUCAUAAAGGUUACGGCUUGAAAAUAUCGAAACAUGUACAUGUAUAACUCGAUCUCUAAAGAAAAUAUCGCAGUGCGGAUUUUCUCCACUGUGAUACGUAUUUCAUGACUCUGUAUCGCAUCAUACCGUUAUAUCGCCGUUCCGUUGCAACGCUACAUUAAUUUGUCCCUCUGGAAUAAGGCUUGCAACAAUAUAUGACUGUUGUAGCGAAGACAUGUUUAUUUUGUUUAAUAUAUGUAUACAUAUUGAAUAUAUGUUUAUGAAGUAAUAAAUAUUUAAGAGUGACUCGA
Ruditapes philippinarum (Manila clam) is the source of this 999-nucleotide long non-coding RNA. RefSeq lists it as uncharacterized. The transcript has 2 exons. NCBI's taxonomy places the organism in Eukaryota, Metazoa, Mollusca, Bivalvia, Venerida, Veneridae. The record is from RefSeq and is a predicted model, not a curated record.